GACGAACGCUGGCGGCGUGCUUAACACAUGCAAGUCGAACGGAAAGGCCCUGCUUUUGUGGGGUGCUCGAGUGGCGAACGGGUGAGUAACACGUGAGUAACCUGCCCUUGACUUUGGGAUAACUUCAGGAAACUGGGGCUAAUACCGGAUAGGAGCUCCUGCUGCAUGGUGGGGGUUGGAAAGUUUCGGCGGUUGGGGAUGGACUCGCGGCUUAUCAGCUUGUUGGUGGGGUAGUGGCUUACCAAGGCUUUGACGGGUAGCCGGCCUGAGAGGGUGACCGGCCACAUUGGGACUGAGAUACGGCCCAGACUCCUACGGGAGGCAGCAGUGGGGAAUAUUGCACAAUGGGCGGAAGCUGAUGCAGCAACGCCGCGUGCGGGAUGACGGCCUUCGGGUUGUAAACCGCUUUCGCCUGUGACGAAGCGUGAGUGACGGUAAUGGGUAAAGAAGCACCGGCUAACUACGUG
RNAcentral lists this ribosomal RNA (467 nucleotides) under uncultured bacterium. Its description in RNAcentral is "partial 16S ribosomal RNA". It matches the Rfam family "Bacterial small subunit ribosomal RNA", at positions 28 to 507 of the family's 1533-position model. The record is from RNAcentral.